RNAcentral lists this ribosomal RNA (482 nucleotides) under uncultured bacterium. RNAcentral describes it as "partial 16S ribosomal RNA". It matches the Rfam family "Bacterial small subunit ribosomal RNA", at positions 30 to 507 of the family's 1533-position model. The record is from RNAcentral.
AUUGAACGCUGGCGGCAUGCUUUACACAUGCAAGUCGAACGGUAACAGCACUUCGGUGGCUGACGAGUGGCGAACGGGUGAGUAAUACAUCGGAACGUGCCUAGUAGUGGGGGAUAACUACUCGAAAGAGUAGCUAAUACCGCAUGGGAUCUAAGGAUGAAAGCAGGGGACCUUCGGGCCUUGCGCUACUAGAGCGGCUGAUGGCAGAUUAGGUAGUUGGUGGGAUAAAAGCUUACCAAGCCGACGAUCUGUAGCUGGUCUGAGAGGACGACCAGCCACACUGGGACUGAGACACGGCCCAGACUCCUACGGGAGGCAGCAGUGGGGAAUUUUGGACAAUGGGCGCAAGCCUGAUCCAGCAAUGCCGCGUGCAGGAUGAAGGCCUUCGGGUUGUAAACUGCUUUUGUACGGAACGAAAAGCCCUCUUCUAAUACAGGAGGGUCAUGACGGUACCGUAAGAAUAAGCACCGGCUAACUACGUG